UUAAAUCAUAUGAUUACGGGUAGAAAAUUAGGAAUUUGGGUAGAGUUAGGACUUUUUAUAUAUUUAUGAUUUAGACCUCGUAUUGGGGUCAAAUUUUGGAACAAAUGAUAAGUUCAGGCUCGUGAGUGAAUGGGUGAUGGGGUUUUGGUCUGAACCUCGUAUUUUGACCAAGCGUGCCCGAGGUCAAUUUUUGACUUUUUGGGAAGAAUGAUUAGAAAGUUAUAAUUAAGAAUUGGAAUGAGAUUUUGAGCAUUUAUUGAUGUUAUUGAGUCGAUUAUGUAUAGAUACAGUUGAUUUGGAGCCAAAUUCGAAAGGAAAGGCGGUAUUUGAGGAUUGAGUUGGUAGUGGAAGUUUGAGGUAAGUGUUCGGUUUAACCUUAGCUUGAGGGAUUAGGAGUUGUGUCCUAUUUGAUAUUUGCUUCUUGUUGAGUACGGCGUAUAAGCAUGGUGACGAGUAUCUAUACGUUGGUGUCGAUCAUGACCGUGACUCUUAAAUUGAAAUUUGUGAUGUUCUUAAAUUACGCUAUGGAUUUAAUUGGUGAUUCUCGAUAUUGAGCAAGGAUUGAGUUUAUUUUAGUGGAAAGUACUUAUGAUAGGGUUUUGGUAAUAGUUGAGAUGAGUAGAAGUUGAGUUAAGAUUGGCUAUAGCUGAUUCUCCCUUGCUGAGAGGUAUUUACUGGUACUGUUGAAUCCCUUGCCGAGAUAGUGUAGUUUAUUAUUGAUCCCUUAC
This 728-nucleotide long non-coding RNA is filed under the name Nicotiana benthamiana. RNAcentral describes it as "long non-coding RNA (NBEN_LNC029741)". The record is from RNAcentral. Lineage: Eukaryota; Viridiplantae; Streptophyta; Magnoliopsida; Solanales; Solanaceae.